UCUUCUCCUUCUUGAAGCUUCCAACGCCCUUUUCAUGUCAAGUUCAUGAAAAUCAAUUUUUUUCAUGUGAUUUUCCUUGUUUCUUCUCGUUUCCUUUCUUUUCUUAAUUCUUUCUUCUCCAAACUUCUUGGGCACUAAACCUGAAGUUUUUAACCCCAAUUUCUAGCACAUCUAAACCCUAGGAGAAGAAGAAAGAAAAAGAGAGAAAGGAAAAAAAAGCUUGGUUUUGGUGAUUCAAGCAAGGAAAGGUAAGGAUUCUUGUUUUUGGUUUAAGUAGUCUUUGAAAAUGAGUUAGUGACUUAGAGAAAUGUCUUGUGGCAACAAAGAUUGGCUUGAUUGGAAAAAAAAUUGGUAACAUAUAAGCCAAUAGACCUGUGGGUACAUGAAGGACUCAAAGUGGAAAAGGAAAACGGUAAGCUUAACACUAUGUUUUAAAGCCUACGGUUAGUUGAAUAUUGUGAGGAAUUAAGGUUGUUGAAAGGAUCUAUUUGCCUAAGCUAGUUGAAAAUUAUUAAGAUUGUAUUGCAUGUUGUUUGAAAGAAAUGAAAAAGGAAUAUUAUGGAUGGAGGAUUGAGAAACAAAGUAUUGAAAGUUAGAUAGAAAACGAUGCAUGUAAACUAGGAAAUAAUCGAGUGAAAGUGAGAAUGAUUGUUGUUGCCAUAUAUGUGGAUUAUGUGUGGAAAUAUAAGACGAAUUUGAAUGAAAAUGGCUAGAAAAGGUUAAUAUGGGUGCUAGAGUCAUAAUUAAGUUGCAUGUUAUUAUAAUUUAAGGAAUUACGCAAGUAAAGGAUAAAGGCAACUUUGGUAAAAUGUGUCAAGAUAUAAGUUAGUUGACUAAGGAUUCGUGAUUGAAGGAAAAAGAGAAGUAGGAAUGAUGUACACUAAAGGUAUUGCAUUUGAAUUGUUGCUAGGAAAUACAAAGGUAAAGUUAGAGCACUAUAGUGGCUAGUAAAAACAGUUAGAGACACCUCCGAACAAAUAGCGACUUAAUAUCUCGUUGUUGCCGGAUGAGUGAACUUGCAUUUCAAAAUGUUUUGGGGAAAUGUUUACGUCUUUCAAUGAAUCAUUUGAGAAUUUUAUCGGUUUUUGCUUUAAAAUUUCCUGGGAACAAGCCCCUGAUAAAAUGUUUGAUGUUGUGAAAUGUGAAAUGUCACGACCCGGAACUCCCAUCGGGCCCCGUGACAACCACCGCGACGUCCCGAUAAGCACUCAUUACCCCGAAUGCCGAUCGAAACCCCGCAAGGCUUAGCAUCAACUUCCGCAUCUCCUCGGUGAGCGACAGUUAUUAAAUCUCGCAUUUCAAGAAAUCAUAAGUUGUUUCCAACUCAAAAUAAUAAAAUAUUAUUUUCUAGCUCACAUGGGCAUUUUCGUCAUUUUUUUUUUAAAAUUUC
RNAcentral lists this long non-coding RNA (1390 nucleotides) under Theobroma cacao (cacao). RNAcentral describes it as "long non-coding RNA (TCAC_LNC005026)". Lineage: Eukaryota; Viridiplantae; Streptophyta; Magnoliopsida; Malvales; Malvaceae. The record is from RNAcentral.